AUGAACAGGUUUACAUCCUCAUUCCUACUGCUAAUUGUCCCUGCAUAUGUCCUGUCCCAGGUUACUCUGAAAGAGUCUGGCCCUGGGAUAUUGCAGCCCUCCCAGACCCUCAGUCUAACUUGCUCUUUCUCUGGGUUUUCACUUAGCACUACUGGUAUGGGUGUGGGUUGGGUUCGUCAGCCUUUAGGGAAGGGUCUGGAAUGGCUGGCGGAUAUUUGGUGGGAUGAUGGUAAGUACUACAACCCAUCCCUGAAGAGCAGGCUCACAACUCCAAGGAUACCUCCAACAACCAGGUUUUCCUCAAGAUGACAAGUGUUGACCCUGCAGAUACUGCCACAUACUACUGUGCUAAGAUGGCACAUUGA
Molecule: non-coding RNA, 365 nt
Organism: Mastomys coucha (southern multimammate mouse)
Lineage: Eukaryota; Metazoa; Chordata; Mammalia; Rodentia; Muridae
Source: the annotation of a RefSeq genome assembly